UUUCUACAGUAAACAGAAUAUCAAAAAACAUAAAAUUCUUGAUUAAAAAAUUGAAAUCAACGGAAAGAGAGAGAGAGUCGAAUUUCAAAAUUGAAAGCGCCCAUGGCGCCUUGCAUUCAUGUAUAUAUAUAAAUUAACAACAAUAAUAAAAUAAAAAAUAAUUAAUUAAUUAAUAAUUGUUAAUAUCAGAGUGUGCAGCGAAAGCAUAUUAUUUAAGAAGUUAGUUGUUACUAAAUAUUGGAGUAUAGGAGAUUAUGAAUUUUGAUGACAAAAUUUGUUUUAGGAGAUAGAUUGUAAUGCCCCAGAUUUUUGGAGAAGAAGAAGGAGAAGGAAAAGGUUUAAUGAGAGCAUAAUAUUAAAAUUUAAUUUUAAAGAUGGUAGUUUUAGGGUGAAUAUUUAUGAUAUGCCUCUAUUUAUCUUUAACCAUUUGUUUUGUCACCUCAUUAUUAUUUCAAUUUUAGUAGCAAAUUAUUUUAGGUGAAAACCAAGUACUUUUUCUAAUUAUGUUGUACUUAUUUUACUUUUGUUCUUCCCACUAUCCUUAUUCUUUUGAAUAAUUAUAAAAAUAAAGAGAAAAAAAUAUUAAUAAUAAAGAAAGCAAAUGGUGGAAGACACCAACUCACCCCAUACCACCCCACCAUCAUUAAACCAACACCAUCAUAUAUCAUCAACUUAUCUCCACCUCAACAACCACAUGCUUUAUCUUCUUUCCAACACAUCAAUCAUAAAUAUCCCCUUCGUCUUGCAUUUCAUUUGAUGACAACCCACCAUCAACCAUUUUAUCCCUUCACCUUCAUCAUAAUUACCCACCAUCAGCCAUGUUAUUCCCUUCUUUUACAACACAUCAAUCAUAAUUACUCACUUCAUCUUCUCUUCCUAUAUAUGCUAGCCUAGUUGAAUGAAGGAUUCACAUAUUUUAUUUCCUUCCGCAUUCGACUUCUUUAUCUUCACAAAAAUUUUAGAGUUAGAAUUAGGGGAGAGUUAGCUAUUCUAUCAAAGGAAGGAGUUUUCAUCCUUAGCUAGGUUUUUGCGCAAGUUUAAGGUAUGUGAUCCUAUGAUAUGAAUUGUGUUCUUGUGAUAUGUUCCUAUAAUAUGAUUUGGGAUGUGAUUGGUGGAUAUUGUUAACAGAGUGAGAUAUGUUCCAAAAUUCUUGCGCAAGUGUGUCGCUUUACCCUAAGAUGACACGUAGUGUAUUUUGGCCUUUGCGGAUUUGAUGGUGGAAUAAGGGGGGCAGUGAGGGUCUCACAUAGAAAGAGUAUGUCUGGAAGGCUGUGAUCCUUGGCGGGACCGUGAUGUUACGGCACGAGUAUAUGACUCAAGGCGUAGGCAUCUUUGGUAUUGAUCCGAUGUAGAACCGCGGUGGGGUCUGAAUAGCCUUGUGUCCAUUGCUUAGUGGUUGGAUGGGAACAGCGCUCUACAGAGAGUUGCUUAAAACUAUUGACUUGCUGAUAGCUAACAUGAUUAAUUACUAUCUUUAAAUGUGUUGGUUGUCCUGUACUCAUUUAUUUAAUUAUGUUCGUUAUUAUUCUGUUAAAUACUAUGCAUAUAAUUAUAUUAUUAAGAUGGGUUGAUUAUCGUGUUGUAAAA
Long non-coding RNA from Camellia sinensis, 1587 nucleotides. RefSeq lists it as uncharacterized. Lineage: Eukaryota; Viridiplantae; Streptophyta; Magnoliopsida; Ericales; Theaceae. The record is from RefSeq and is a predicted model, not a curated record.